This 29-nucleotide non-coding RNA is filed under the name Mus musculus (house mouse). Lineage: Eukaryota; Metazoa; Chordata; Mammalia; Rodentia; Muridae. The record is from RNAcentral.
UGGGUAGAAACUUCCAGAAGUGGUAAUGC